GGUGCGCGGCUACAAUGCAGUCGAGCGGAAGAUGGGAGCUUGCUCCCUGAUGUUCGCGGCGGACGGGUGAGUAACACGUGGGUAACCUGCCUGUAAGACUGGGAUAACUCCGGGAAACCGGGGCUAAUACCGGAUGGUUGUUUGAACCGCAUGAUUCAGACAUAAAAGGUGGCUUCGGCUACCACUUACAGAUGGACCCGCGGCGCAUUAGCUAGUUGGUGAGGUAACGGCUCACCAAGGCCACGAUGCGUAGCCGACCUGAGAGGGUGAUCGGCCACACUGGGACUGAGACACGGCCCAAACUCCUACGGGAGGCAGCAGUAGGGAAUCUUCCGCAAUGGACGAAACUCUGACGGAGCAACGCCGCGUGAGUGAUGAAGGUUUUCGGAUCGUAAAGCUCUGUUGUUAGGGAAGAACAAGUGCCGUUCAAAUGGGGCGGCACCUUGACGGUACCUAACCAGAAAGCCACGGCUAACUACGUGCCAGCAGCCGCGGUAAUACGUAGGUGGCAAGCGUUGUCCGGAAUUAUUGGGCGUAAAGGGCUCGCAGGCGGUUUCUUAAGUCUGAUGUGAAAGCCCCCGGCUCAACCGGGGAGGGUCAUUGGAAACUGGGGAACUUGAGUGCAGAAGAGGAGAGUGGAAUUCCACGUGUAGCGGUGAAAUGCGUAGAGAUGUGGAGGAACACCAGUGGCUAAGGCGACUCUCUGGUCUGUAACUGACGCUGAGGAGCGAAAGCGUGGGGAGCGAACAGGAUUAGAUACCCUGGUAGUCCACGCCGUAAACGAUGAGUGCUACGUGUUAGGGGGUUUCCGCCCCCUUAGUGCUGCAGCUAACGCACUAGGCGCUCCGCCUGGGGAGUACAGACACAAGACUGAAUCUCAAAGGAAUUUGACGGGGCCCGCACAUGUGGUGAAUCAUGUGGUUUAAUUCGAAGCCACGCCAAGACCUUACCA
RNAcentral lists this ribosomal RNA (952 nucleotides) under Bacillus sp. (in: firmicutes). RNAcentral's name for it is "bacterial SSU rRNA". It matches the Rfam family "Bacterial small subunit ribosomal RNA", at positions 41 to 976 of the family's 1533-position model. Lineage: Bacteria; Bacillati; Bacillota; Bacilli; Caryophanales; Bacillaceae. The record is from RNAcentral.